RNAcentral lists this ribosomal RNA (428 nucleotides) under uncultured prokaryote. RNAcentral describes it as "bacterial SSU rRNA". It matches the Rfam family "Bacterial small subunit ribosomal RNA", at positions 355 to 776 of the family's 1533-position model. The record is from RNAcentral. RNAcentral also lists the same sequence under 1 other name.
UAGGGAAUUUUCGGCAAUGGGGGAAACCCUGACCGAGCAACGCCGCGUGAAUGAUGAAGUAUUUCGGUAUGUAAAAUUCUUUUAUAGAGGACGAAUGUUACUAAUAGGAAAUGAUUAGUAAGUGACGGUACUUUAUGAAUAAGCCCCGGCUAACUAUGUGCCAGCAGCCGCGGUAAUACAUAGGGGGCAAGCGUUAUCCGGAAUUAUUGGGCGUAAAGGGUGCGUAGGCGGCAUAUUAAGUCUGAGGUGAAAGUGCGGGGCUCAACCCCGUGAUGCCUUGGAAACUGAUAAGCUAGAGUGUGGUAGAGGCAAGUGGAACUCCAUGUGUAGCGGUAAAAUGCGUAAAUAUAUGGAAGAACACCAGUGGCGAAGGCGGCUUGCUAGGCCAUUACUGACGCUGAGGCACGAAAGCGUGGGGAGCAAACAGG